RNAcentral lists this ribosomal RNA (906 nucleotides) under uncultured delta proteobacterium. RNAcentral's name for it is "bacterial SSU rRNA". It matches the Rfam family "Bacterial small subunit ribosomal RNA", at positions 24 to 912 of the family's 1533-position model. Lineage: Bacteria; Deltaproteobacteria. The record is from RNAcentral.
UCAGACACCAACCGGGGAGCCCCGCGCUUAACACAUGCAAGUCGAACGCCUUUUUUAUGGGUUCGGAAAGCGAGUAGAGUGGCGCACGGGUGAGUAACGCGUAAGUAAUCUGCCCUGGUAUCCGGGAUAACCCACCGAAAGGUGUGCUAAUACCGGAUACGCUGAGCAAUCAGGAAAGGUGGCCUCUUCAUGAAAGCUACUGUACCAGGAGGAGCUUGCGUACCAUUAGCUAGUUGGUAGGGUAAUGGCCUACCAAGGCAACGAUGGUUAGCGGGUCUGAGAGGAUGAUCCGCCACACUGGAACUGAAACACGGACCAGACUCCUACGGGAGGCAGCAGUGAGGAAUAUUGCGUAAUGGGGGAAACCCUGACGCAGCGACGCCGCGUGGAUGAUGAAGGCCUUCGGGUCGUAAAAUCCUGUCAGAUGGAAAGAAAUGUACAUGUGCUAAUAUCACUUGUAUUUGACGGUACCAUCAAAGGAAGCACCGGCUAACUCCGUGCCAGCAGCCGCGGUAAUACGGAGGGUGCAAGCGUUGUUCGGAAUUACUGGGCGUAAAGCGCGCGUAGGCGGUUUGUUAAGUCAGAUGUGAAAGUCCACGGCUCAACCGUGGAAGUGCAUUUGAAACUGGCAGGCUUGAGUACUGGAGGGGGUGGUGGAAUUCCCGGUGUAGUGGUGGAAUGCGUAGAUAUCGGGAGGAACACCAGUGGCGAAAGCGGCGCCCUAGCAUUGGCCUGACGCUCAUGUGCGAAAGCGUGGGGAGCGAACGGGAAUUAGAUACCCCGGUAGUCCACGCUGUAAACGAUGAGCACUAGGUGUAGGCGGUGUCAAAGCUGUUUGUGCCGAAACAAACGCGAUAAGUGCUCCGCCUGGGGAGUACGGCCGCAAGGCUAAAAUUCAANGAAUUG